RNAcentral lists this ribosomal RNA (484 nucleotides) under uncultured bacterium. RNAcentral describes it as "partial 16S ribosomal RNA". It matches the Rfam family "Bacterial small subunit ribosomal RNA", at positions 30 to 507 of the family's 1533-position model. The record is from RNAcentral.
AUUGAACGCUGGCGGCAGGCCUAACACAUGCAAGUCGAGCGGAUGAAGGGAGCUUGCUCCUGGAUUCAGUGGCGGACGGGUGAGUAAUGCCUAGGAAUCUGCCUGGUAGUGGGGGAUAACGUCCGGAAACGGGAGCUAAUACCGCAUACGUCCUGAGGGAGAAAGGGGGGGAUCUUCGGACCUCACGCUAUCAGAUGAGCCUAGGUCGGAUUAGCUAGUUGGUAGGGUAAAGGCCUACCAAGGCGACGAUCCGUAACUGGUCUGAGAGGAUGAUCAGACACACUGGAACUGAGACACGGUCCAGACUCCUACGGGAGGCAGCAGUGGGGAAUCUUGGACAAUGGGCGAAAGCCUGAUCCAGCCAUGCCGCGUGUGUGAAGAAGGUCUUCGGAUUGUAAAGCACUUUAAGUUGGGAGGAAGAGCAGUAAGUUAAUACCUUGCUGUUUUGACGUUACCAACAGAAUAAGCACCGGCUAACUUCGUG